GUCGUGCGAGAAGUAUCUUCGGAUAUGAGUAGAGCGGCGGACGGGUGAGUAACGCGUAGGAAUCUACCUAGUAGAAGGGGAUAGCCCGGGGAAACUCGGAUUAAUACCGUAUACCUCCUUCGGGAGAAAGAAGGCCUCUCAUUGAAGCUUUCGCUACUAGAUGAGCCUGCGUAAGAUUAACUUGUUGGUGAGGUAAAGGCUCACCAAGGCGACGAUCUUUAGCGGGUCUGAGAGGACGAUCCGCCACAUUGGGACUGAGACACGGCCCAGACUCCUACGGGAGGCAGCAGUGGGGAAUAUUGGACAAUGGGCGCAAGCCUGAUCCAGCCAUACCGCGUGUGUGAAGAAGGCCCUAGGGUUGUAAAGCACUUUAAGUUGGGAAGAAAAGUUAUUGGUUAAUACCCAAUAGCCGUGACAUUACCAUCAGAAUAAGGACCGGCUAAUUCCGUGCCAGCAGCCGCGGUAAUACGGAAGGUCCAAGCGUUAAUCGGAAUUACUGGGCGUAAAGCGCGCGUAGGUGGUUUAUUAAGUUGGAUGUGAAAUCCCCGGGCUCAACCUGGGAACUGCAUCCAAAACUGAUUCACUAGAGUACGAUAGAGGGAGGUAGAAUUCACAGUGUAGCGGUGGAAUGCGUAGAUAUUGUGAAGAAUACCAAUGGCGAAGGCAGCCUCCUGGAUCUGUACUGACACUGAGGUGCGAAAGCGUGGGUAGCGAACAGGAUUAGAUACCCUGGUAGUCCACGCCGUAAACGAUGUCAACUAGCUGUUGGGGAACUAUGUUCUUCAGUGGCGCAGCUAACGUAGUAAGUUGAC
RNAcentral lists this ribosomal RNA (812 nucleotides) under uncultured marine bacterium. RNAcentral describes it as "bacterial SSU rRNA". It matches the Rfam family "Bacterial small subunit ribosomal RNA", at positions 61 to 869 of the family's 1533-position model. The record is from RNAcentral.